UACGAAGGGGCAAGCGUUGUUCGGAAUUACUGGGCGUAAAGGGCGCGUAGGCGGUCUAUCAAGUCAGGCGUGAAAUUCCCGGGCUCAACCUGGGGCUGCGCUUGAUACUGAUGGACUUGAAUGCGGGAGAGGAUAGUGGAAUUCCCAGUGUAGAGGUGAAAUUCGUAGAGAUGUGGAGGAACACCGAUGGCGAAGGCAGCCCCCUGGGUCGAAGAUUGACGCUCAUGCACGAAAGCGUGGGGAGCAAACAGGAUUAGAAACCC
This 263-nucleotide ribosomal RNA is filed under the name uncultured bacterium. RNAcentral's name for it is "partial 16S ribosomal RNA". It matches the Rfam family "Bacterial small subunit ribosomal RNA", at positions 524 to 787 of the family's 1533-position model. The record is from RNAcentral.